RNAcentral lists this ribosomal RNA (491 nucleotides) under uncultured bacterium. RNAcentral describes it as "partial 16S ribosomal RNA". It matches the Rfam family "Bacterial small subunit ribosomal RNA", at positions 28 to 506 of the family's 1533-position model. The record is from RNAcentral.
GAUGAACGCUAGCUACAGGCUUAACACAUGCAAGUCGAGGGGAAACGCCAUCGAAAGCUUGCUUUUGAUGGGCGUCGACCGGCGCACGGGUGAGUAACGCGUAUCCAACCUGCCCAUCACUUGGGAAUAACCUUGCGAAAGUAAGACUAAUACCCAAUGAUAUCCCACGAAGGCAUCGGAAUGGGAUUAAAGAUUUAUCGGUGAUGGAUGGGGAUGCGUCUGAUUAGCUUGUUGGCGGGGUAACGGCCCACCAAGGCAACGAUCAGUAGGGGUUCUGAGAGGAAGGUCCCCCACAUUGGAACUGAGACACGGUCCAAACUCCUACGGGAGGCAGCAGUGAGGAAUAGUGGUCAAUGGGCGAGAGCCUGAACCAGCCAAGUAGCGUGCAGGAAGACGGCCCUAUGGGGUGUAAACUGCUUUUAUAAGGGAAUAAAGUGGGUCACGUGUGACUUUUUGCAUGUACCUUAUGAAUAAGGACCGGCUAAUUCCGU